Molecule: long non-coding RNA, 3228 nt
Organism: Cercocebus atys (sooty mangabey)
Lineage: Eukaryota; Metazoa; Chordata; Mammalia; Primates; Cercopithecidae
Exons: 2
Source: RefSeq, a predicted model, not a curated record
GUGAGGGAGGCGUGGUUUGUGACAAUGUCACUGAGAGCUUAGACCCUACAGCCCCAGAGUCCUCGUCUGUCCUUUCCCCUUCCUGCCUGCCCCCUCCCUCCUUGUAGCUCCUCCCCAGACCCAGGUCCAGAAGGCAAUUCUCAUGGUUUCCUAGAAAGAGUGAAUAAGAGGGCUCAAUUAAAAAAAAAAAAAGAAACCCAAAAGAGUCACCCUUUUAACCAUUCCAUUGCCCUGAAAACCUGAGGCACAAAUUAUCUGAUAACCCAUGGUCUCCUCCUUGGCUAUACUUCGAAAUCUCCAGUAACGAUGCUUGGGUUCCAAUCUCAGAGUCUCAUUUAAUUGGUUAGGAGUGUGUCCUAGGCUCUGGAUUUUUUUUUCUUGAUCAGAUCCAUCACAUUCAAUGGGCUCUGGGUUAUUAAAAGCUCCCCAGGUGAUUCCACUGUGCAGCCGGGACUGAGAAACUGGCUUCACCUGGUCGGCACCUGCUCCUCCUUCAGCCACGCUUGUCUCCUGAUGCUUUCCCAUCCCCCGGCUCCUCUCCACACACCCUCCAUCACAGGCCCAUCACACUAGGCUGCACACACAGAGCAGCCUCCAGUUCUCACCUUUGUAUCCUUAGCACCUAGCUCAGGAGACUAAAAUCCAUGUUAAGAAAGCAAGUGAAAGCUGCCCUAGCCUUCCCAUAAGCUGUCUCCUAAGGGUGUCUCAUACGAGCCUCAGCCACCUAUGGCAUAUGGCAUCGAUUCUGUUCUCUUCCUCAGGAUCCCCACAGGAUUCCACUGGAAACAGACUCCCCUCUCCCCACACUGCCAACCAGCACGGAACCCUUGCCACGUUUCUUUGCAUUAGCCCAGGCAGCUAAGACAUGUUUUCCUGGCCCUCUGCUCCCCUCACCAUUCCCAGUUAACAGCUGGGUAAAGAAGUCCUUGGACUUGCUGUGGAGCCCUCCCUGCCUUCUAGGGAGCCUGCGUUGGGAGGCUGGGUGCUUGGAGAGAAUUUGUGAGGAAGGAAUAGGAUGUGGGAGAGGAUAGGGGCUCUAGGUUUGGAGAAGACAAAAAAGGCAGCGAGUGAAGUGUGGGAGCCUCAGGAGGCUGGCCUGGGUCUCUUAGCUCCUCCUAGCCGUGGUUCCUCAUCUGAAGACGGGCGUGAACCAGUUAACAGGUUCAAUGGCCAUUUAGGUGACAUUCCCAUGCUCAAAUGCUGGAAUCAUAAGGCGUGAACUGCAAGGAUUUAGAGACAGGUAAAUGGUCAAGGAAAUAGACAAAAUGGGGGAAAAAGGGAGGUCCCCAGCUUCCCAGUUUUUGUUUUAGGACUUGAAGAAGCUUAGGUCUCCAGCCUCCAGAGCAAGUCUAGGGUUUUGAGCCCAGAAAUCUGUGUUUGGAGGAAACCUCGAGCCAGUGACUGCCUACCUGUAGCAAGAGACAAAGGCAAAGUGUUACAGCCCUGGGGGACAGCCAUGGCGAAUCUCCUCCCAGACCCUGACGACACAGAAACUGGCAGAGCCUGUCAGGAAGUGGAAGUCGGCACUGAUUUAUACCUCUCACUCGAUUCAGCUGAUUAAAUCCCCCUUGGCGUCUCCUCCAGAGCUGCCUUUUUUACUCUCCCGGGUUGUCUCUGGCCCAAGAGCUGGAGGAGUAUUGCCUAUAAAUAAGCAGCGCCAGGAGGAGAGGAGCCAAGCACGCCCUCCUCCCACCCACCUGCCGCACGGGCCUCCUGGUCUGGCUUCUCUGGGUGGGUGGGGCGAUGGAGGCCUUGCUUCUAUUCUGAGCUCACCUCUGCUGCUGUGACCUUGGGGAACAGAGGGAGCAGCUCUUGCCUUGGCUUCCCCUUCCUGGGGCCCCGUGGGAGCCUCCUAGCCCGUGAGGUUUAUACUUUGAGCAGAGCUCUUGGCCUUCCGUUCCUGCAGUUGCAGUCUAAAAUGGAGUCUGCCAUGCAGAGGCCUAGAAACUGGAAGAGCCCCUCAAAGCCACACAUUUCCCCUCCCUGAAGUACAAAUAAGGUUUAGAGAUGCUCGGGACUUCCCACGGCCACACAGCUGGUUAGCAGCCAGAGGACUAGAACACAGCUCUCCUUCACCCACAAAUGCCCCCUACACAGGUUCUGGACUGCAAAUGCUCCUUGAAUCCUGCAGGUCAACCAAUCAUCACUGCAGGCAAGGUGAACAGAUAAAAACAACGAAAACCCGGAAGUCCAGAAGCAGCGUGGGCACUGGAGGAAAGGCAAUCACGUCACCACCCUUCCGUGGGCCUCAUCUCCUUAUGUAUACAGUGCAUGUGACACCUGGACCCUCAAGGCCUGAGUUUUCAGCAAUGAGACUGCUGUGAGUUUGAGUUCUCCUUGUUCCAACAUCCCAGCCUACCAUUCUCAUGGUAUGUAAACCAGUGCUGAUAAUAUAGUUGAAGCUGACGCAAACUCGGAAAGUAAAUUUACUUUUUCUUUUUUUAAUUUUUUUUGAGACAGGGUAGAGAGUCUUGCUAUGUUGCCCAGGCUUGUCUCAAACUUCUGGGGUCAUGUAAUCCUCCCAGCUGAGCCUCCUGAGUCAUUGGGAUGACAGGCAUGAGCCACCACACCAGGCUUGAAGGAACACAGCUGUGGUGUCCCCAAGCCUCUGGGAACUGCCUGAAGCCUGGGAAUCAGAUGAAAACCAACACGCUGGGCUCCACGGGCACCCCCGGAAGCGGCCCUCCUCUUGUUCCUUGUGCGCUGUGGAUUGAAACUCAGAAGCAAAGAGCCUCUCAGGAGGGGCAGAGCAAGGCAGGGCUUUGGGUUUGGAAUGGCAGAGUUUGAAAUGGCAGAGAACUGGUGCCUCCUGAGCACCAUCCUCUGGGCAGCUGCAACACCCUGGAACUGCGGCUGCCACUCAUUCUUUACAGACCUCAGUGGUUAUCGGGGGAGUUUUACUCCAAAUUGCAUUUGGAGCAGCAGAAAGAUGACUUGUUCCAAAGGAAGGCCUUACUAAGAAACGAUGAGAGGCUGUGGAAUGACUUUUGGAAGUGGGGGGUGCAGGGGCCCACGUGAACGGACAGUGGUCUGACGUCAGCCCAGGAAGAGCUGUCGGUUUCUGUGGGCCACUAUGCUUCAUUGUCAAUAGGGAAAGGGCUUGAGCUGCCCUGGGAGACUCAAGGAAGACUUCAUUUCUACUCAAGGAAGGAAUUCCUGGAAGAAACCAGAAUGGGACAAAUACUUGAAGGAGUGAAGGAAAUAAAUGACAGAAAAGUUUCUGUUUAA